RNAcentral lists this non-coding RNA (31 nucleotides) under Mus musculus (house mouse). Lineage: Eukaryota; Metazoa; Chordata; Mammalia; Rodentia; Muridae. The record is from RNAcentral.
UAAGAAUGUUACUCAUUCAGAGGAAAUGCCC